This 265-nucleotide ribosomal RNA is filed under the name uncultured prokaryote. Its description in RNAcentral is "partial 16S ribosomal RNA". It matches the Rfam family "Bacterial small subunit ribosomal RNA", at positions 524 to 788 of the family's 1533-position model. The record is from RNAcentral.
UACGGAGGAUCCGAGCGUUAUCCGGAUUUAUUGGGUUUAAAGGGUGCGUAGGCGGCUUUUUAAGUCAGCGGUGAAAUUUUGCAGCUUAACUGUAACAGUGCCGUUGAUACUGGGGAGCUAGGAUUUGGUUGCUGUGGGUGGAAUGUGUGGUGUAGCGGUGAAAUGCUUAGAGACCACACAGAAUAUCGAUUGCGAAGGCAGCUCACAAAGCCAAGAUUGACGCUGAGGCACGAAAGUGUGGGGAUCAAACAGGAUUAGAUAUCCG